GGCUCGUUGUUCUAGGGUAUGAUUCUCGCUUUGGGUGCGAGAGGUCCCGGGUUCAAAUCCUGGACGAGCCC
This 71-nucleotide transfer RNA is filed under the name Danionella translucida. It matches the Rfam family "tRNA". Rfam says of the family: Transfer RNA (tRNA) molecules are approximately 80 nucleotides in length. Their secondary structure includes four short double-helical elements and three loops (D, anti-codon, and T loops). Further hydrogen bonds mediate the characteristic L-shaped molecular structure. tRNAs have two regions of fundamental functional importance: the anti-codon, which is responsible for specific mRNA codon recognition, and the 3' end, to which the tRNAs corresponding amino acid is attached (by aminoacyl-tRNA synthetases). tRNAs cope with the degeneracy of the genetic code in two manners: having more than one tRNA (with a specific anti-codon) for a particular amino acid; and 'wobble' base-pairing, i.e. permitting non-standard base-pairing at the 3rd anti-codon position. Lineage: Eukaryota; Metazoa; Chordata; Actinopteri; Cypriniformes; Danionidae. RNAcentral also lists the same sequence under 1 other name. The record is from Rfam by way of RNAcentral.